AUUGAACGCUGGCGGCAUGCCUUACACAUGCAAGUCGAACGGCAGCAUGGAGAGCUUGCUCUCUGAUGGCGAGUGGCGAACGGGUGAGUAAAGCAUCGGAAUGUACCGUGUAGUGGGGGAUAACGUAGCGAAAGUUACGCUAAUACCGCAUACGCGCUGAGGUGGAAAGCAGGGGAUCGUAAGACCUUGCGCUAUACGAGCGGCCGAUGUCAGAUUAGCUAGUUGGUAGGGUAAAGGCCUACCAAGGCGACGAUCUGUAGCGGGUCUGAGAGGAUGAUCCGCCACACUGGGACUGAGACACGGCCCAGACUCCUACGGGAGGCAGCAGUGGGGAAUUUUGGACAAUGGGGGCAACCCUGAUCCAGCCAUGCCGCGUGAGUGAAGAAGGCCUUCGGGUUGUAAAGCUCUUUCGGCCGGGAAGAAAUCGCACAGGCUAAUACCCUGUGUGGAUGACGGUACCGGCAUAAGAAGCACCGGCUAACUACGUGCCAGCCGCCGCAGUAA
This 504-nucleotide ribosomal RNA is filed under the name uncultured bacterium. RNAcentral describes it as "partial 16S ribosomal RNA". It matches the Rfam family "Bacterial small subunit ribosomal RNA", at positions 30 to 523 of the family's 1533-position model. The record is from RNAcentral.